CGAGCGAGCUUGCCUAGAUGAUUUUAGUGCUUGCACUAAAUGAAAUUAGAUACAAGCGAGCGGCGGACGGGUGAGUAACACGUGGGUAACCUGCCCAAGAGACUGGGAUAACACCUGGAAACAGAUGCUAAUACCGGAUAACAACACUAGACGCAUGUCUAGAGUUUGAAAGAUGGUUCUGCUAUCACUCUUGGAUGGACCUGCGGUGCAUUAGCUAGUUGGUAAGGUAACGGCUUACCAAGGCAAUGAUGCAUAGCCGAGUUGAGAGACUGAUCGGCCACAUUGGGACUGAGACACGGCCCAAACUCCUACGGGAGGCAGCAGUAGGGAAUCUUCCACAAUGGACGAAAGUCUGAUGGAGCAACGCCGCGUGAGUGAAGAAGGGUUUCGGCUCGUAAAGCUCUGUUGGUAGUGAAGAAAGAUAGAGGUAGUAACUGGCCUUUAUUUGACGGUAAUUACUUAGAAAGUCACGGCUAACUACGUGCCAGCAGCCGCGGUAAUACGUAGGUGGCAAGCGUUGUCCGGAUUUAUUGGGCGUAAAGCGAGUGCAGGCGGUUCAAUAAGUCUGAUGUGAAAGCCUUCGGCUCAACCGGAGAAUUGCAUCAGAAACUGUUGAACUUGAGUGCAGAAGAGGAGAGUGGAACUCCAUGUGUAGCGGUGGAAUGCGUAGAUAUAUGGAAGAACACCAGUGGCGAAGGCGGCUCUCUGGUCUGCAACUGACGCUGAGGCUCGAAAGCAUGGGUAGCGAAC
This 750-nucleotide ribosomal RNA is filed under the name uncultured bacterium. Its description in RNAcentral is "bacterial SSU rRNA". It matches the Rfam family "Bacterial small subunit ribosomal RNA", at positions 50 to 773 of the family's 1533-position model. The record is from RNAcentral.